This 3295-nucleotide long non-coding RNA is filed under the name Homo sapiens (human). RNAcentral's name for it is "HSALNT0403127". Lineage: Eukaryota; Metazoa; Chordata; Mammalia; Primates; Hominidae. The record is from RNAcentral.
AGCUUCUGCUAGUGUUUAGGUACUAGUGCAGUGUAGAACCCUUUUCUCAGGCAAAACCUAACAUCUGACCGCACCCUUUUUGCUAUUAAAAAAAAAAAAAAGCUUCUAUUUUUUUCCUCCUGUCGUUAAGAUAAAUUCUCCAGUAGACAACCUCUCCCACUAAUUGUGUAUUAGCAACGUAUUUUAUCUUGAGAGCUUGUACACUGGGCUCUCAACGUGGUGUGGAAGGUAGCCUGUUACAGUGCUGGAUUCAUAAAAGGGCCUUUAUGGUUUGUGAAAGAAUAUCUGUGUGCUUAGGGAGGAAACUUUUUGAUCUGCAGAAAAGCCAGAAGACAUCUAGGACAUCCAUAAAAAUUCAUCAGAGAGCAUUUUACUACUGAGCUGCAAAGGUGUCUGAUGAUUUGUGAGCCUCAAGUGACUACUCUGUGGAAUCAUCUGUCCUUGCCUUUGAAUUAGCUUUCCCUAGGCCAUGAGUCAACAUUAGUAGUUUAUACAUCCAAAUUGAUGACAAGAGCACCUCAAAGGCAGCAGCCUCAAGGAGCAGCCAUGGCCCCAGACUUGUCGCACGGAUGCAGAAAACUUAAUGGAGGAGGCUGAGCAAGAUUUCUUCAUAAAUAAUAUUGUAUGUGUUCAUGAAAAUAGAAAUAAAAAUAGAAAUAAAGAAGAAAUAACAGAAAAAGGACAGAAAUUGUUAAAAUUUUUUUAUGAAAACAGAUAGUAAAUAACAUUGUAAUAAAUCCCAACAGAACAUAGAGAACCUGACUUUAUUGACGUUAGUGGGAGGAGGUUUGUGAUUUUAAAACUAUAUAUUAUGGUUAUGUCAUCUAAAAAUCAAAUAUUCAAGCACAUAUAUUAAAAUUAGUCAUCAUUACAUUUUUCCAAAAUAAAAAAUAAAACUAAACCAACAUUAACCAUCAGUGAUUCCAUCAACUGAGCAAGUUUGAGUAGCAUUACCCUAGUGAAUAUCAGACUAUCGAUUAUUCUAUUCAUGUACCUGAAAUUGGAUAACAGUAUGAAGAAUUUCCUGAACAAAUACAAGAUACAUAUUUAGACCUUCUCCAGUCUAGAGGAAUACUUGCUUCUUGUCAGAAUGAAGAAUGAGGAGUAUUGUUUUAGAACUGGACUUCUUUGAUGACCCUUAAGUAAACCAAUAUGGACCAGAUAACAGGAGCAUUUCAAAGCAUCAGAAUUUUGGGGGAUUCUUGUGGUGGAGCACAAUGAGGCAUUCCAGCCUACUCUAAGAAAAUAGUUCAUCCCUGUCAAUAUCCUGGGAAGCAGAGUUCAGAUAAAACUAUGAAGACACAAUGUAAAAUGUCAGUUGUCUUUGCAAAACAUUAAGUAUAUGUGUAUUCUUGGGAAUGGGGGGAAGUAUGUAAUUAUUUGUGGCUUUUCAAAAAUGAAUGGCUUUUGAAAAGCCACCUCUGUAGUGCCUUUUUGAUUCCUCUUACGAAAAAAACAAACCUGGAAAAAUUAGUAGUCUUUAAUUUAUAGUUAGUUAGCACAUUAUGACAGAACUUUAAUCUCAUAUCUCACUAGGUAGAAAUGAAAUAAUACAUUUUCCCAUUAUAUAUUGAUUGGAGUUAAUUAAAUAUAGUUAGUAUUCCAUUUACAUUGAUGCUUUUUGUUCAAAUCUAUGGUAUUAUGUAUAAAUAUGCCAAUUAUUCAGUAAAACAUCACUAAAAUUAAACCUAUAUUGUUAUGAAGCUGUUAGAAAAUAUCUUCUUUGAAUUCUGAGAGCUGUAUUAUAUUAGUUUAACUAGUUAUCUUGAAAUUCUGAAGUUCCUUGAAUCUAUUUUAAUUUUGUAUCAGGAAUUGGAGAGGUUUUUCCAGAAAAGUGUUACUUAAAUGCAUCAAAUGCAAUGUGGGAAUUUUGACCCACUUCUUGUAUUUCUAUUUUCCUGCUGUUUUUGCCCCCAGAGGAAGAAUAUAAACAUUUUGCUUAUUGUAACACAUUGCUUCAUUAUGAUAUAUUAUUGUUACCAUUUUUUUAAAAAAAGAAUGUUUCUAGGUUUUAAUUAAGCUCCUUCACCUAAUAUGUAAUUUUAAAGUUAUUAUUUCAUAUAAUAUCUAACUUGCCACAGUUAGGAACCUGGAGCAGACUGAACCUUUGGACAAAAUGAUGCCGUUAUUAUGAAAACAGAAAAGCAUAGACCAGGUGUGGUGGCAUAUGCCUAUAAUCCUAGCACUUUGGGAGGCUGAGGUGGUUGGAUCACUUGAGGUCAGGAGGUCAAGACCAGCCUGGCCAACACAGCAAAACCCCGUCUCUAUUAAAACUACAAAAAUUAGCCUGAAAUGGUGGUGGACACCUGUAGUCCCAGCUACUUUGGAGGCUGAGGCAGGAGAAUCGCUUGAACCCGGAGGCAGAGGUUGCAGUGAGCUGAGAUUGUACCACUGCACUCCAACCUGGGCGACAGAGUGAGACUCUGUCUCAAAUAAAUAAAUAAAUAAAUAAAUAAAUAAAUAAAAUCAUAGCUGUAGGCAACUUCAAGCUUAUAAUUUUGCAGAGCAAUAGCAGUAAGAUACUCUGUACAAAGUUAAGUCAAGGAUUAUUGCACAUCUCAUAUGAUGGGAUUCUUUUUUUAAAAGUUUUAUUUUAUUGUAGUAAGAAUACUUAGCAUGAGAUCUACACUCAACAGGUUUUCUAAGUGUACUGUUUAUUAUCACUGAUGAUAGGCACAACAUUGUACAGCAGAUUUCUAGAGUUUAUUCAUCUUGCUUAACUAAAACUUUAUGCCCAUUGAAUAGUAACUCCCCAUUUCCCCUUUCCCCCGCUUCUGACAACACGAUUACCCUUUGGUUCUACAAAUUUGACUAUUUUAGAUACAUCAUGUAAGCGGAAGCAGAAAGUGUUUGUCUUUCUUUGACUAGCUUAUUUCACUUAGCAUAGUGUCGUCCAGGUCAUCAAUGUCAUCCCACACUGCAGAAUCGCCUUUUUUUUUUUUAAUGGCUAAAUAGUAUUUCAUUGUGUAUACGUUUUUUUAUCCAUUUCACCUAUUGAUGGGCAUUAAGGGUGUUUCCACAUCUUGGCUGUUGUGCAUACUCCUGCAUUGUGCUAUUCAUGGGAGUGCUAAUAUCUCUUUGGGAUCUUGAUUUCAAUUCUUUUGGAUAUACAGCCAAAAGCGAUAUUGCUGGAUCAUAUGGUAACUUUUUUUUUCAAUAGUUUUAGGGGUACAGUGGUUUUUGGCUACAUGGAUGAAUUAUAUGGUGGUGCAGUCUAGGCUUUUAGUGUAUCUGUCACCUGAUUAGUGUACAUCGUACCCAAUAUGUAAUUUUUAACCCUCACUCCUCUAGUUUU